GACGAGGUGCACAAACGUUAUUCGGAAUUACUGGGCUUAAAGCGUGCGUAGGCGGCCUAGCAAGUCGGGUGUGAAAGCCCUCGGCUCAACCGAGGAAUUGCGCCCGAAACUGCUGGGCUUGAGUGAGACAGAGGUGAGCGGAACUGAUGGUGGAGCGGUGAAAUGCGCAGAUAUCAGGAAGAACACCCGUGGCGAAGGCGGCUCUCUGGGACGGUACUGACGCUGAGACGCGAAAGCGUGGGGAGCGAACAGG
RNAcentral lists this ribosomal RNA (253 nucleotides) under uncultured bacterium. Its description in RNAcentral is "partial 16S ribosomal RNA". It matches the Rfam family "Bacterial small subunit ribosomal RNA", at positions 524 to 776 of the family's 1533-position model. The record is from RNAcentral.